This 232-nucleotide ribosomal RNA is filed under the name uncultured bacterium. RNAcentral describes it as "partial 16S ribosomal RNA". It matches the Rfam family "Bacterial small subunit ribosomal RNA", at positions 99 to 334 of the family's 1533-position model. The record is from RNAcentral.
CGGACGGGUGAGUAAUGUCUGGGAAACUGCCUGAUGGAGGGGGAUAACUACUGGAAACGGUAGCUAAUACCGCAUAACGUCUUCGGACCAAAGUGGGGGACCUUCGGGCCUCACGCCAUCGGAUGUGCCCAGGUGGGAUUAGCUAGUAGGUGGGGUAAUGGCUCACCUAGGCGACGAUCCCUAGCUGGUCUGAGAGGAUGACCAGCCACACUGGAACUGAGACACGGUCCAG